GCAAACUUGGUCAUUUAGAGGAAGUAAAAGUCGUAACAAGGUUUCCGUAGGUGAACCUGCGGAAGGAUCAUUAAUGAAAUAAAUUUGGUCGAGUUGUUGCUGGUCUUUAGGGAUAAUUGUGCACACUCGACUUGAUUUAACUUUACCACCUGUGCAUCUUUUGUAGACUUGGAUAUUAACAAUCAAAUUAACUUUUGGAUUUGAGGAUUGCUAUUUUUUAUUGGCUUUCCUUUAAAUGUUCAAGUCUAUGUUUUAUUAUAUACACCUUGAUAUUUUAAAAAGGAAUAUUAAUAAAAGAUUUAAAAUACAACUUUCAACAACGGAUCUCUUGGCUCUCGCAUCGAUGAAGAACGCAGC
This 357-nucleotide unclassified non-coding RNA is filed under the name uncultured fungus. RNAcentral's name for it is "partial contains small subunit ribosomal RNA, internal transcribed spacer 1, and 5.8S ribosomal RNA". The stretch from base 1 to 73 matches the Rfam family "Eukaryotic small subunit ribosomal RNA", at positions 1759 to 1831 of the family's 1831-position model. Lineage: Eukaryota; Fungi. The record is from RNAcentral.